ACACAACACAGUGCUUCAGCUUUAGUAUCAGCCUAAUGCCAUUGGGCAUUAUUUAGAAAAAUGAAAAAGCAUUUUACAAAAGAAGCAAUCAGCUGCAACCAGAUCAAUAUACCUGAUUGAAUAAAUAUCUACCAUAAUCCAUAUUGUUAGCAAAAACUAACGGUGCUGUCAUCAAAUACGAAGAGACUCCAGUGCAAAAUUUACGCUUUUGUUCAAAUAAACACAGAUGGAUUUAGGUUAUUUUGAAAUUGAAAAAAAAAUUUAAAUGAUCAAAUUACGCCAUAACAUCAAAAGAAGAUUUUUGCUUAUCCUUCCAUAGGUUUCCUGUUCCGUCCAAUGGGACUUUGAAGAACCAACAGGCAAACAUAUUUUGAAGGACUUGGCUGUGAAAAACUUCACUGAACUUACACCUAACAAGCAAAAGCUGUAUAAGAAUGCAGGAAAAAUCUAUCUGAAAUAAUGAGGCUCUGAAGAACGUUUAAAUGUGUUAAAAACUCCAAAAGAUCUAUAUUAAGUGAACUAACAUCAAAUGAAUCUACCAAUGAAAUAUUUAAAAGCAAAUAAGGUUUCAUCAAUCAUUUUUUUUAUACAAAGCCAACUGAUAAAUGCUCCUAGAAAAUUAACUGGAUGGAGAUGGACACAAGUUUUAAAUUUGCCGAUCUGAGUGCUAGAGCACAGAAACACUGUGUUGGAUUGAAAGUUAUUAGCACAGUUUGCGAUUUGGAUGGUGAUAAUAUAUGUGACAUAAAUUCAUUGGGGUCAUCAAAUGAUCCACCAUACUUUUACCAAGAGGGACGUAAUUGAUGUUGAAAUAGUAAGAGAGAGAUGAAAUUGUGACUAUUUUUUAAAACACAAUAUCCAAUUUACACAAGACAAUAGACGGAAAUCAAAACAUAGGCGUUUUUCGGGAUCAGCUUAAGCUGGCUGAUAUUGUUCGGAUUUUCAAGAGUGGUGACAGAGGAUGUGAUGACGAAGAAAUGGCGAGGCAGGAUAUUCUAAAUGAACUCCAAAUAUCUUUUUUUUUAAUUUUUUCACUAGAAUAUAGCCGCACUUUUACAACAUGCAUGUUUCUGAACCCUCGGUACAAACUUUAUUUCGAAAACGAAAGUACUGCAGAAUCCACACAAAAUCAUGUAAUUGGAUUAGUGACAUCAUUAAUUUAAGAGGAAGCAACAGAAACAAAACAGAAUAUUCCAGAAUCUUCUUCGGUAUCCGGAUCGGAAAACUCCAUUUGGGCCCACUAUUACAAAAAGAUGCAAAAUAUUAGGCCCAGUUGUACCAAAUUUUCUUGAUCUGUUGUUGAUGUACAACGUUACCUAGAUGACACAGUCUCAAAGUGUCAUUCGGCUUUAGAAUAGUGGAAAGCUAACAAGAACUCAUACCCACAUUUGGCAAUACUUGCACACAAUAGACUAAAUUCUCUGGCAACGUGAAAGAUUGUUUUCUGCCGCAGGAAAUAUUUUAUGUGAUCGUAGGACUCCUCUUGGAGUAAGGAAAAUUAAACAACUACUUUUUCUUACAACAGAAUUUAAAAAAUAAAGUAAUUAUUCAAGAUUUGUGUAUAAUAAUAGACUAUUAUCGCAAAGAAAUUCAGAAAACCAAAAAUCUUUCUACUGGCAGUUGCUGCUAAAAAGUCCAAAACUUAUGUUUAUAGUUCCUUGCUUUACUUCCUUACACCAGUGUUGGCUAGUAGAAAAUCAGAAGGGAACUAUCCGACCGAAGAUACUGAAUCUA
Molecule: long non-coding RNA, 1734 nt
Organism: Pieris rapae (cabbage white)
Lineage: Eukaryota; Metazoa; Arthropoda; Insecta; Lepidoptera; Pieridae
Exons: 4
Source: RefSeq, a predicted model, not a curated record